AUUGAACGCUGGCGGCAUGCCUUACACAUGCAAGUCGAACGGUAACAGGUCUUCGGAUGCUGACGAGUGGCGAACGGGUGAGUAAUACAUCGGAACGUGCCUAGUAGUGGGGGAUAACUACUCGAAAGAGUGGCUAAUACCGCAUGAGAUCUACGGAUGAAAGCAGGGGAUCGCAAGACCUUGUGCUCCUAGAGCGGCCGGUGGCAGAUUAGGGAAUUGGUGAGAUAAAAGCUUACCAAGACGACCACCGGUAGCUGGUCUGAGAGGACGAUCAGCCACACUGGGACUGAGACACGGCCCAGACUCCUACGGGAGGCAGCAGUGGGGAAUUUUGGACAAUGGGCGAAAGCCUGAUCCAGCAAUGCCGCAUGCAGGAUGAAGGCCUUCGGGUUGUAAACUGCUUUUGUACGGAACGAAAAGCCCCGGGUUAAUACCCUGGGGUCAUGACGGUACCGUAAGAAUAAGCACCGGCUAACUACGUGCCAGCCGCCGCGGUAA
Molecule: ribosomal RNA, 498 nt
Filed under: uncultured bacterium
Lineage: Bacteria
Description: partial 16S ribosomal RNA
Rfam family: Bacterial small subunit ribosomal RNA
Source: RNAcentral